Molecule: long non-coding RNA, 465 nt
Filed under: Ananas comosus (pineapple)
Lineage: Eukaryota; Viridiplantae; Streptophyta; Magnoliopsida; Poales; Bromeliaceae
Description: long non-coding RNA (ACOM_LNC034506)
Source: RNAcentral
GAAUAGCCACUAGUAACCCCAAGGGUCUAGUCUAUAUCUCAAAGUAAAGUUCCAACAUUCACUAAGUCUAGUGCCUCUUUAGGACACUAGAACAAAGGAUGCAUAGAAUGUCAUCUAGCAAUAACCUACUAUCAUGCUAGUAUAUUUCAACAGUGUAAUGAAUACAACUACAACAUAGUUAUGCAGUCUACUAUGUCAAAUCAUGGUAUGAAUGCAAUCCACUUAUGCAAUUCCUGUUACCACCCAAUCAAUUAGGCCAACUUGCCUAAGGUCUCAAAUCUCAAGGUUCUAGGCAAAGAGCUACCCCGCUCCUUGCCCGACUCGUAUCUCAUAGGUCCGACCCAAUCUCGAAAGUCCUAGGCAAAGAGCUACCCCGCUCCUCGCCCGACUCAAUCUCAAAGGUCCUAGGCAAAGAGCUACCCCGCUCCUUGCCCGACUCAAUCUCGCUCUACUAGGUACAAGCUG